GACAUCCAGACACUCGAAGACUUGUCGAAAAAAGUGGAACUCAAUGGUCAGUUCGGUGUGCUGUUUCUACCCGGAAAGAAGCAGCUCAAGGACGUGAAGUGUCAUAGUAUAAAUUACAAGAACUCUAAUGGAGUGGAUGGGGAUUGUAAGUUCGCCGGUGUGGCCCCGAAUACAAAUGAAACAUUGGGGAUUAAAGAGACACGUCGACACGGUGAG
This 216-nucleotide long non-coding RNA is filed under the name Penaeus japonicus. RNAcentral describes it as "uncharacterized LOC122248845". Lineage: Eukaryota; Metazoa; Arthropoda; Malacostraca; Decapoda; Penaeidae. The record is from RNAcentral.